GCGGGUAUAGUUCAUCGGUAGAACGCGACCUUCCCAAGGUCGAUAGGAGGGUUCGACUCCCUUUACCCGCUCCA
RNAcentral lists this transfer RNA (74 nucleotides) under Oscillospiraceae bacterium. RNAcentral describes it as "tRNA-Gly". It matches the Rfam family "tRNA". Rfam says of the family: Transfer RNA (tRNA) molecules are approximately 80 nucleotides in length. Their secondary structure includes four short double-helical elements and three loops (D, anti-codon, and T loops). Lineage: Bacteria; Bacillati; Bacillota; Clostridia; Eubacteriales; Oscillospiraceae. The record is from RNAcentral.